GUUUAUAUAGCUUAUAUAGAGUUUAAUAUUGAAGAUAUUACGGAAAUAAUUAUAUUUAUAAACA
This 64-nucleotide transfer RNA is filed under the name Silvanidae sp. KM-2017. Its description in RNAcentral is "tRNA-Phe". Lineage: Eukaryota; Metazoa; Arthropoda; Insecta; Coleoptera; Silvanidae. The record is from RNAcentral.